This 522-nucleotide ribosomal RNA is filed under the name uncultured bacterium. RNAcentral describes it as "bacterial SSU rRNA". It matches the Rfam family "Bacterial small subunit ribosomal RNA", at positions 95 to 604 of the family's 1533-position model. The record is from RNAcentral.
GUGGCGAACGGGUGAGUAAUACAUAAGUAACCUGGCAUCUACAGGGGGAUAACUGAUGGAAACGUCAGCUAAGACCGCAUAUGUGUAGAGAUCGCAUGAACUCUAUAUGAAAAGUGCUACGGGACUGGUAGAUGAUGGACUUAUGGCGCAUUAGCUGGUUGGUAGGGUAACGGCCUACCAAGGCGACGAUGCGUAGCCGACCUGAGAGGGUGACCGGCCACACUGGGGACUGAGACACGGCCCAGACUCCUACGGGAGGCAGCAGUAGGGAAUUUUCGGCAAUGGGGGAAACCCUGACCGAGCAACGCCGCGUGAAGGAAGAAGUAAUUCGUUAUGUAAACUUCUGUCAUAGAGGAAGAACGGUGGAUAUAGGGAAUGAUAUCCAAGUGACGGUACUCUAUAAGAAAGCCACGGCUAACUACGUGCCAGCAGCCGCGGUAAUACGUAGGUGGCGAGCGUUAUCCGGAAUUAUUGGGCGUAAAGAGGGAGCAGGCGGCACUAAGGGUCUGUGGUGAAAGAUCG